UACAAGAUGACACCAGUGGAACUUCCACAGCAUUUAAAUUGGUGGUCAGGGGUCAGCAAUGAGCAAGAAGGAAUAGCAAUACAAGGAUAAGAAAAUAGCAAUAUAAGGAAAAGAAGAAAAGUGUAGACUCAAGCAGCACAGCAUCCCUUCUGUGAUAACACAAAGUGUCUGUGACUCAGGUAGGAUGCUGAACUUACAUCAGCUUCAUGGUGUGAAGCAUCUUUUCUUCCAGGCAGCUGCAGCAAAGCAGAGCCCAGUCCCUGCAGGCUCUGCCUCUGGAUUUUGGAGGCACUGCACUCCUCCAGAGCCUCCUGCCACCUCUAAAUAUCACUGUGCAAAGAGCAGGGGGCUUAUUGGGACUAAAGCUGUGAUCACAAAUCCCCUUGUGCAGCGUCUGACACCCUCCCAGUGCUGGCUGAGAUUUAAAUUGGAGGCCAGGGAAGAGAUUCCUUCCCACAGACCGGGUCCAGCAGGGAGCCCACCCCUCUGCAAAGACAGGGCACUCAGAAAUCAGCCAAAACACAAUAAUUUCAUUAAUUUCGCCGUGAACAACAGGUGAGCCUAAUGCUUUUGAGGAAAAAAAUAUGAAAAAAAAAUCAUUUUCCACUUUUCAAAGACACGAGAAAUCCAUUUGGUGAAGAGGCAGAAAUUCUCCUGGCUCUCUCUCAGCACCACGAAACCACAAAAGACUCCAAAGCCAUCGAGUCCAGCCUGUCCCCAACCCUUGUCCCCAAGUGCCACCUCCUUUCGAGGGCUGGCGAUGCCACCGGGACUCUUUCAGAGCACAACAGCGACAUCAGCCCCGAGGCUUUCCGGAAGGACCGGGCGAGGCGGGGCCGGGGCAGCUCCGCUCCCUUAUAGCGGCCUCGGGCAGGCGGACGGACAGACGGACAGACGGACAGACAGACGGACAGACAGCACCAUGGCCAUCCCCUGCGUGGAGCUCAGCAACAAGAUGAAGAUACCCGCCCUGGGGCUGGGCACCUGGCAGGUACCGAGGGCAGUACUCUAUCACAGACAUGAGAAAGCUGGGCAAUCGAUGAUGGCUUGCAGAAACAAGCUCCUUUCUGCUCUGUGCUCCCCGCGAAAAUCUUUCUACCAGAAUGAGAAUGAAAUUGGGAAUGCGGUCCAGCAGAAGAUCAAGGAGGGAGCUGUGAAACGGGAAGACCUCUUCAUUGUCACUAAGCUGUGGAACACGUUCCAUGAGAAGUCCAUGGUUAAGGUGGGGUUCAAGAAGAGCCUUGCUGCCCUCCAACUGGACUACCUCGACCUCUACCUGAUGCACUUCCCCAUGGGAUUCAAGGUAGUGCUGCUCUCCACCCCUUUCCUCCCUUACUCCAACUUCAACCAUGAGCAGAUUGAAAGAAUCUUGAACAAGCCAGGACUGAACACAAACCUGUAAUGAACCAGGUGGAAUGUCAUCCAUACCUGACCCAGGAGAAGUUGGUCAAGUACUGUAAAUCCAAAGGGUUGGCUGUGACUGCCUACAGCCCCCUGGGCUCUCCUAAUCGCCCCUGGGUGUUUGACUUUGAACUGUCCAAAAAGGAGAUGGAUGUCAUCCUCAGCUUUAACAGGAACUGGAGGGCAGUUCCAGUGGUCCAAGCUGUCAACCACAAGGACUACCCGUUCAAAGCAGAGUAUUAAAUGCAGGUGGUUCCUGCAAGACCUCCAUUUAACUCCUUCCACAUCAGGUGUUCUCUCCAGCUCGACCUUCAUUUCUUCUCUACUUGAUAAUCAUUAUGGGCAGCACCUUUUUCCUCCUUUUUUUUAAGGAGGAGAGCACUAACUGAUGUAAGAAUGCAGCAAAAAGGGUGGGAUUUUUUGUAAAGAUGCUUGGCAGAAAUCUGGUUUUGAUUAAUAGUAAAAAUAAGGUGUCUUUUCAUUUCCUUUUUAUCUGGUCUUCCUUAAUUAGAGACAUGUUUAACAAAAAACUAGCUACUUACAUGGAGUUUUUUAUAUGUUACCUCCAUGUGGUCAGUCACACAGUGGCUCAUGAGUCACUGUCACAGAACAGUUGCUUUUUAUAUAUUUGUGAUUUUUACAGAGUGUAUUUCUAAUGCUUUAAAAUUUUAUAUGAAUAAAGUUUUAUCAACAACAAAAAUCGAUCAGUGUAGUCCUUAAAUUGUUUUAUAUAGUUUGGCAUGUUUUUCUAAAUUUUAAUACAGAUAGAAAUAAGUUUCUAUAAUUUUUGUAAAAGGACAGGAGAUAGAGAUCACUUUGUGGUUUAUUGUUCAAAACAGGAUUGUGCUGUAGCUGGGACCUAAAGAACAAAAUUGUCAUUGUUGCCCCACACAGCCCUUCCUCUGAAUACCUAAAAAACUGAAUUCUUGUGUGAUUAGUGGGGAAGGUUGAAGACAGCAACAGGGGCAAGGAUAAUUCACAGUAAAAUCCAGCCAGAUGAAUGUAAGGGCUGCCUCCAACAUCAGACUGGGAGUCUCAAAUAUAAACUUAGAUUUUUUUUUGCAACUCUGCUGGCAGCAUCCAGAAUAUUACACUCAGACUGAAGCUGAGGAAAGCACAGAAAAAAACCCUUCAAAAUCACCAGAGCAAACCCUGAGACAGGCUGACAGUAAAUUGCUGUAAAAUAUAUUCAGAUUGAUUUUUGCUAGGCCAAAGCCAAGCUGGUUUGUGGCAUUCAGGAGAGACACCCUUAGGGGUUCUUUACCUUAUUUCACAGGGAAUUAGCACAAUUCCUGUCCCACUUACAGCAACUGGUCCAUCCCUACUCAUUGACAACCAGGGGGCUGCUGAUGGGAAUACUCCAUUUAUUGCAGAUGCAGUUUCAGAAUACAUUUCUUUGAACAAAUUGUUUUUAUUGCAGCCAUCAGAUGUUUUUUGAAAGACUCCUAGGAGAGCUCACAAAACCCCCCCAAACAAAAAGAAACCCAUGACAACUCCAGACAAUGCCAGGCACAGUUUCACCCCCUACAGAAAACUUGUGCACCUCCACAUGUAAACAAGAUGUUGCAGCCGAGCAGGGAGCCCAGCUUUGGGUUGAAACAGAACAUUACACUUCUUUAGGAAGAAUCCAGAUGCUGCAGGAGAUGGAAGUGGUGAUAAGGGAGGUCCUGGGGGGCUCUGAUGCAAAGCUGUUCACAAUUUGCUCAGGGGCUACUUGAGUUGCUCAGUUUAUGCCACCAUCUUCUGUAGGAUGUCAAUGUUAAACUGUAUGGCAUGUAAAUCCAAACCAAGCUGAUGUCUUACAGCCAAGUAUUUACUAUGUACAAACAAAAACAUCUGUAAAUAAGGUAUUCAGGAGAGAGAGAGGUAAAAAGAAGCAUCAUAGAGGUUUACUUCAUUUUGGUGUACGGCACUGAUGGAUGGCAAGAUUUAGUGUACAGUCAUUUGAAACCAGCUCCAACUCUCUUUACAUCUUUUUUCUUUUUAAUUAUGGUGGUUUUAUAUAAAUUAAGCUACAAGUUUUUAUACAAGUGACCUAUUUUUGACCCUCUAUACCCUUACCUUUUCCUCUUUUAAAAACUAUACUUUCUUUUUAAUUACCCAUUUCUGGGCAACUGACAUUUAAAUUUUUUUUAAUACUUAUCUCACCAUACCUCUACUGACAAUUACGAAAUCUUACUAUAGAAAAGUCUGUGAUUUUGUCUUUAUUUUUUUUUUUAAGCUGUGAUAUUGGCUAAUUAUGUAUGUUUAUUGCUAAAUAUAAUACUCUAGCACAUAUUAAAGCAUUCUACCAUUAGUAGUGCCUUUAGGCUAAACUUUGUAAAGCUAUGUGUGUAUAUAUAUUCUAGAUUGCAUUCCAUUACUAGUCACUAACAACAAAAAGAAAUAUCAGUACCGCUGUCAGCUAACAUAAUCAUCCAAAUUUAGGUAUUAACUUAAACUAGAAUGGAAACAUU
Molecule: non-coding RNA, 3857 nt
Organism: Cyanistes caeruleus (blue tit)
Lineage: Eukaryota; Metazoa; Chordata; Aves; Passeriformes; Paridae
Source: RefSeq, a predicted model, not a curated record